This 1421-nucleotide ribosomal RNA is filed under the name Pennaria disticha. RNAcentral's name for it is "partial large subunit ribosomal RNA". The stretch from base 1172 to 1421 matches the Rfam family "Bacterial large subunit ribosomal RNA", at positions 2048 to 2474 of the family's 2925-position model. The record is from RNAcentral. Lineage: Eukaryota; Metazoa; Cnidaria; Hydrozoa; Anthoathecata; Pennariidae.
UUUUUAGAUAAAAAAAUAUUUUAAUUAAAAAAAAGAAAAAAUAAAUAUAAUAAAUUAUAAUAAAUUAAAUUUAUUUAUUUAAAAAAUUAAUUUAUUUAAAGAACUGAAACAUCUUAGUAAAUUAUAUAAUAAAUAUUUGAUAGUAAUGGCUAAUGAAAUCAAAUCUAAAUAAAAAAAUUAAUUUAACUUUAAAAUUAAAUAUUAUUUUUUCAUUAAUAAAUAAAGUACCGUAAGGGAAAAUAAAAAUAAAAUAUAAAAACAAUGAUUAUCAUUUACCUUUUGUAUAAUGAACUUACAAGAAAAAUAUAUAGCAAAUUAAAAGAUUAAAUAAUUUUUAUAAGUUAUAUAUACCCGAAACCAAACGAUCUAAUCAUGAAAAUAUUUAGAUAUAAUUAAUAAAUGUAAAAAAAUUUUUAAAAUAUUUAUGAUUAGCAGCGAAAAACUAAACGAGUUUGGAUAUAGCUGGUUAUCUAUGAAAUUUAUUUUAGUAAAGCUUAAUAAUUAAAGUCAAACUAUAAAAUAAAAUUUUUAUAGUUUAUAAGAAAAAAAUCUUUAUUUGAAAUUAAUAUGUUUAAUAAUAAAAAUUUAAAAAUUUUUAUUAUAAUAAAAAUUAAAAAAUAGGAGUAGAAACAACCAUAUUUUAAAAAAAACGUAAUAGUUUAUUUAAAUAAUAAAAUAAAAUUAAAAUAAAACAUAAUUUAAUAAAUAUUCAAAUUAAGGUAAUAGAUUAUUCUUGAAAUCAAGAAAAAAUAAUGUAAGUAUAAUAAAAAUUCAUUAUUCUUUAUGUUUCUUAUUUUAAUAAAUGAAUAAGAUUAAACAAUAUUUAAUAAAAAAAAUAAUAAAAAUAAUAAAAAUAAUAAAAAAAAUAUAUUUAUUAAAAUUGUACUUAACUAAAUCAAGAAAGAAUAAAAAAUAGAUAAUUAUUUUAUUUAAGGAACUCGGCAAAAUUUAUAUCGACUGUUUACCAAAAACAUAGCUUUUAAAAUAAUUAAAAGUGCAACCUGCCCAUUGAUUUAUUAAUAAAAAUAAUAAAAAAUUGAAAAUAAAUUUAAAGGACGCGGUAUCUUGACCGUGAUAAUGUAGCAUAAUCACUCGCCAUUUAAUUAAUGGAUAGUAUGAAUGGUUAAACGAAUAUAACACUGUCUCAAAUAAAAAAUCUAUAAAAUUGAAAUAAUAGUAAAGAUGCUAUUUAAAAUUGUAAGACGAGAAGACCCUAUAGAGCUUAACUACAUUUAUUUUAUUAAAUAAAUUGGUAGUUUAGUUGGGGCGACUACCUUUUAAAUAUAACAAAGGUAAUCAAAAUUAAUUAUUUAAUUUAUUGUUUAAUAUAUAAAUUUAACAAUUACUAAAGUAGGAAAUAUUGACCCGUUAAUUAAAAAAAGUUUUUAUUAACGAUUAAUAAAUAAAAGCUACCUUAGGGA